GGAAAGGUGGGUGAGUGGCUGAAACCGCUAGUCUCGAAAACUAGUAUGGGGGCAACUCCAUCGAGGGUUCAAAUCCCUCCCUUUCCGCCA
RNAcentral lists this transfer RNA (90 nucleotides) under Deltaproteobacteria bacterium. RNAcentral describes it as "tRNA-Ser". It matches the Rfam family "tRNA". Rfam says of the family: Transfer RNA (tRNA) molecules are approximately 80 nucleotides in length. The record is from RNAcentral. Lineage: Bacteria; Pseudomonadati; Myxococcota; Myxococcia.